UGACGAGGAGCUUGUUGUUGUUGUUGUUGUUGUUGUUGUUGCUUCUUGCAGCGGUUUACGGCACGUCAGAACGCUCCAUCUUACGCUUUGUUGAUCGUGUUGCGCCCUAUUUAAGAAGUCAUCAUCGAAAUAAUGCAGAUGACAGGCAGGUCAACAAUUUUAGUGGUUUACGCAUGAAUGCAACUGAGCAGGUGCCAAUUUUGUGUGGUGCUUGAGGGGAAUAAUGAAC
RNAcentral lists this small RNA (229 nucleotides) under Cryptococcus neoformans H99. RNAcentral describes it as "Cryptococcus neoformans var. grubii H99 hypothetical RNA". The record is from RNAcentral. Lineage: Eukaryota; Fungi; Basidiomycota; Tremellomycetes; Tremellales; Cryptococcaceae.